Molecule: ribosomal RNA, 253 nt
Filed under: uncultured bacterium
Lineage: Bacteria
Description: partial 16S ribosomal RNA
Rfam family: Bacterial small subunit ribosomal RNA
Source: RNAcentral
UACGUGGGGGGCAAGCGUUGUUCGGAGUUACUGGGCGUAAAGGGCUCGUAGGUGGCCCACUAAGUCGGGCGUGAAAUCCCUCGGCUUAACCGGGGAACUGCGCUUGUAACUGGCAAGCUUGAGUGUGGCAGAGGGGGGUGGAAUUCCACGUGUAGCAGUGAAAUGCGUAGAUAUCGGGAGGAACACCAGUGGCGAAGGCGGUUCUCUGGGCAUUACCUGACGCUGAGGAGCGAAAGUGUGGGGAGCGAACAGG